Molecule: non-coding RNA, 1047 nt
Organism: Pelobates cultripes (western spadefoot toad)
Lineage: Eukaryota; Metazoa; Chordata; Amphibia; Anura; Pelobatidae
Source: the annotation of a GenBank genome assembly
GUCGACAGCCUUCUCGUGGUAUUUUGUUAUGCCAUUUCUGACGUCAUGAGAUCACAGGACAAGGGUUCAGUCCAAUGCCUCUCAUUUAGAAAUAUUGCGGACCUUAGGCACAAGAGCAGUUCUCACUGCCAUCUACCAAUGGAAUUCCCCUCAUAGAUAAUCAUUGAAAGCUAUGAUUCUCUAAGAAGCCAUGAAUGACAAUGCGCAUGCGUAGGCGACGACGUCGUAGUAGGAAUGGGUAUGAGAGACUGAUAGUAACAGUCACAGCUCUCCCAUUCAGAGUGCUUGGCGGCAUGGCUUGAAGCCAUGCUUUCAAGCCCUUUAAACAAUAGAUAUACAUGGUGUUCGACUACAGGAGACUUGGGGACAAAUUAAGGAAUUAUAACAAUGUUGUUAAGAGGGAGUUAACCAUUUAUAAAAUGUAUUACUUGAUGCUGUAAAGAUGCAUGCUAAUACACUGCUUACCCAAAUCAAACACCACAUUUUUAAAACAAAUAGUUUUUGUAAACAAAUUGUAGCGAUUUAGGUACGUGAUGGUUGAGCCUCAAACACAUAAUGUUUGUAUACUGCACAUGUCAUGAUGCUCAGGGUAAGAAAUAGCGCUUACAAACAUCUGUGAUGCCACAGUUAUGUAAGGAAUAAUUGACGACAGGCCAUUGAAUUAUUAGAAAAAUAAUGCACACCCGAGGUGGUAAUGCAGUGUGCAUUGUUUUUUUCUAAUAAUUCAACGACCUGGAGUCAAUUAUCCCGCUUAUACAACAGUUAACACACCUCGAAACAUUGUUCAUAUGAUGUAUUUCAAGACGUUUGUCAAGUGCUUGUCAUUAAAACACUCUUGUAUGUAGGACUAAUUUCUUACGCAACUGUAAUGCGGUCAAGACCUGUCUGGAACUACUUUAGCCGUAAGUCUCCCUGAAAAUAAUGCACACCUUAGAACGUUCAUCAACCAAUCAGAUUGAAGCAUUCAACGGCCCUGUAGUAUAAGUGUGAUUAAUAUCUGUAAUGUUAAGUCAGUCAGUGGUUAACCAACCUAAAUUGCAGAGUCUC